AUUAUCCUCAAUCUCACGUGGCUAUCCACUAUCCAAGUGUCUCCUAGAGAUCACUUUACUUUCUCUUUCAAUUGCCACGGCCAUUGCCAAUCCAUUCUCGCAAUAAACUCACACGAACACUCCGUUCAUAAAUCUAAGCCAAACUCCUCAACAAAGUUACCGGCCAAAUCAAUUACCUUAGUUUCCACAGGUGGUCCAUAGACCGCCAAUUCCACGAAGACCUACCGCCUAAACCUAUCUCAGCAACGCAUCGCGUCUCUCACUCGCAGCGUAAACCCAAUCAACAUUACUAGGCGAAAUUCUCAUUUGGGAAUUCGCACACACUCCAACU
This 331-nucleotide long non-coding RNA is filed under the name Ananas comosus (pineapple). Its description in RNAcentral is "long non-coding RNA (ACOM_LNC038908)". The record is from RNAcentral. Lineage: Eukaryota; Viridiplantae; Streptophyta; Magnoliopsida; Poales; Bromeliaceae.